RNAcentral lists this long non-coding RNA (778 nucleotides) under Fukomys damarensis (Damara mole-rat). Its description in RNAcentral is "lncRNA (ENSFDAG00000022961.1)". The record is from RNAcentral. Lineage: Eukaryota; Metazoa; Chordata; Mammalia; Rodentia; Bathyergidae.
GGGUUGAUGGCCUCCCAACCGGAAGAGGCCAUAGGGAGCUCCUCUGCAGCUGAGGAGAAAAGCCUGAGGAAUCCCUCACUUCAAAUGAGAAAAUGAGAAACUGCAAACCUGUGAAGAAAAGCACCACCCGAAUAAGGCUGUAUCCGUGCCAGCAGUGAGUCUGUUUAAUGACAAUGCAAUAUCACAUUUCCACACAGUCCUCAAAAGAAGGCAAGAGUCAGUGUCAUUGGAUAGGCUCCUUGUUAAAGUUCCAUGAAGAGAAAAAGAUUCUGUGGAGCCGGUAGGUAGUAGUGAUCCCGUUAGUGAUAGUGAAGUCCUCCCACGCAGUAGCCCUCCUCUCUUAUCUCCUUCACACCUGCCACGAAGGGUUUCAAAGUUCUUAUUUUUGAAAAAUCCUUCACUUACUGGCUUUGUGGAGCAUUUUUGCCUGGAUACUUUUGCUGAGAAGAUUGCUUACAGACCGUGUGAGUGGCAGAGAGAUAUGGCUGACUGACUGCCCUAGACGAACUGCUCCCUCAGCCUUUUCUGACACUUGGAGCUCUGCAAAUGUAACAUGCAAUUUUGGUGCCAAUGACAGAAGCCUUCCAGAAAACAAAACAACAAGAACUUGGACUGAGGCUGUAGCUCAGUGGCAGAGAACUUUGCUAGCACGCACAAGGCCCUGGGUUAGAUUCCAACAUUGAAAAAGGAAAAAAAAAUCAAGAACCCAAUCAAACCAUAAUACUUUCAGAAAUUUAGUAGCACUCGAUUAAUGAAAAGGUAAGAUUCUAUAACUACA